RNAcentral lists this long non-coding RNA (991 nucleotides) under Sorghum bicolor (sorghum). RNAcentral's name for it is "long non-coding RNA (SBIC_LNC004902)". Lineage: Eukaryota; Viridiplantae; Streptophyta; Magnoliopsida; Poales; Poaceae. The record is from RNAcentral.
GUGGGCUGAAAGAAGGAACGAACUAGCACCACGUUAGUUAUAAAAGCGAGCUGAAUAAGCGUUCGACGAUGGUACUGUGCUGGUCCCAAGCUAGACCGUGCUAGAGACACGAGCCUGGACACAAAGGAAAACCACAGCACACCCUCGAAAACAAGGUGGAAGAAACCUAAAAUCAAUAUGAAAAACAGCCCCUUCUUUUUUUUGAAUCUUUUCUCUUUAUUUUCUUUUUUUUUCUUUUUUUUGGGCAACCUCAAAAACUGAUUAUAUGAACAAAAGAAUACAAAAGAGAAAUUCGCUACACACACUUUUUUCUGAAAGUACAGGGGUAUUCCGGUAAAAAGAAGAUCCUUUUUCCGAAAGUACAGGGCUACACACAAUCUCUCUCUCUCUCUCUCUAGAGUAAGGCCUAACAAGUAUGGAGUUAUCCUUCUUCUUUUUUAUCACGUUGGUGGAACUCAGAUUGGAACUCUACUCGAUCCGGACCAAGACCACACUUCAAUUCGGACUUCGCAACAGAUUCGACAGAGAGAAGAUAUGGUAAUACUCGGCUGUGUAUAGAUGGUGACAAGAACUCGAAACUCUAAAGGACUAGACACUAAGACCAGCAACUCGACACAAACCGAAGCAACGCAAAUUCAACAAGCCCUAACUAAAACGGUACUAGCCAAGGCACAAAGGUUUAAUAGGAUUAUGGAAAAAAAACUAAUCUACUAUAUUUUUUUGGCUUUUCUGGACUAUAGGAAAUUAAUUAAAAACAGCAAAGGAUUAGAAGUCUCUCACCGAAGAACCUUGCUCUGAUUACCAACUGAUGCGAACCCGCUAGGGUUUUUGCCUGAUCUUUUGACGAGAUACGGGGAUAACUCGAUUGGUGGAUGGAGAUGACGUUCACGGCCCGACUACAGCCCUCAAGACCGCGCCUUAGCAACCGAUACACCACGUCCAACAGCCGUCACGAUCUUGUGGAGCGCGACAACCAGCCCCUAGGGCUCCC